UUGAUAUGAUCGGCAUCAAGCUUAGAAGCUGUCACCACAACGGUAAGCAAGUUAAGUCGGCAUCCUCGCCACUGUGCAGUAAAGCAUGGGAAGGCCGUUCGACUAAGUCGAAUGACAACUUGUAAGCCCGGAGACCGGCCUGAAGUGAUUUUUUAGA
This 157-nucleotide non-coding RNA is filed under the name Oleiphilus sp. Lineage: Bacteria; Pseudomonadati; Pseudomonadota; Gammaproteobacteria; Oceanospirillales; Oleiphilaceae. The record is from RNAcentral.